GAUGAAGAACGUAGCGAAACGCGAUAAGUAAUGUGAAUUGCAGAAUUCCGUGAAUCAUCGAAUCUUUGAACGCAUAUUGCGCCCUCUGGCAUUCCGGGGGGCAUGCCUGUCCGAGCGUCAUUAUUUAUCUUCAAGCACGGCUUGUCUAAUGGGCGGUUCGUCUGCGGCCAUCCGCCGGAGACGCCCCCGAAAUGCAGUGGGGAUGUUCGCUAAAUCGCAGCGUCAGGAAUGGAAAUAAACAAUGCUGACGGCUCGAUGUCGAACGUCCACCUAAGGCGUGCCGCCCCCCGGGGUGUGCCGCCCAACCUCUCUCGGUUGACCUCGGAUCAGGUAGGGAUACCCGCUGAACUUAAGCAUAUCAAUAAGCGGAGGA
Molecule: unclassified non-coding RNA, 373 nt
Filed under: soil metagenome
Description: partial contains 5.8S ribosomal RNA, internal transcribed spacer 2, and large subunit ribosomal RNA
Rfam family: 5.8S ribosomal RNA (bases 1-120)
Source: RNAcentral